ACUCAAAUGAAUUGACGGGGGCCCGCACAAGCGGUGGAUCAUGUGGUUUAAUUCGAAGCAACACGAAAAACCUUACCUAGGUUUGAAAUCCAGCGAAUUUGCCUGAAAGGGCGAAGUGCCCGCAAGGGAGCGUUGAGACAGGUGCUGCAUGGCUGUCGUCAGCUCGUGUUGUGAAAUGUUGGGUUAAGUCUCGCAACGAGCGCAACCCUCGUCCUUAGUUGCCAGCAUUAAGUUGGGCACUCUAGGGAGACUGCCUGGGUUAACCAGGAGGAAGGUGGGGAUGACGUCAAGUCCUCAUGGCCCUUAUACCUAGGGCCACACACGUGAUACAAUGGAAACGACAAAGGGAAGCGAAGCUGUGAAGCGGAGCCAAUCUCAAAAACGUUUUCUCAGUCCGGAUUGAAGUCUGCAACUCGACUUCAUGAAGUUGGAAUCGCUAGUAAUCGCGGAUCAGCAUGCCGCGGUGAAUACGUUCCCGGGCCUUGUACACACCGCCCGU
This 499-nucleotide ribosomal RNA is filed under the name uncultured bacterium. RNAcentral describes it as "partial 16S ribosomal RNA". It matches the Rfam family "Bacterial small subunit ribosomal RNA", at positions 899 to 1397 of the family's 1533-position model. The record is from RNAcentral.